Long non-coding RNA from Cebus imitator (Panamanian white-faced capuchin), 1370 nucleotides. RefSeq lists it as uncharacterized. The record is from RefSeq and is a predicted model, not a curated record. The transcript is spliced from 3 exons. NCBI's taxonomy places the organism in Eukaryota, Metazoa, Chordata, Mammalia, Primates, Cebidae.
CUGGCCUAGCUGUACACAUUAAAUUGGUGAACUUUAUGUUAUAUGAAUUAUAUCUCAAUAAAGAUAUUUCAGGAAACUAAAACCAAAAAGCCACCUUAGGGCUGAUGGGAGAGGGAGACAGAGGACCCACAGUGUGACUCCUAGGGUGCAGCUGCUCACAAAUGUGGGGUCCACACUGCAGCUUUCCUCUGAGGUAAGGGUUGGUGGUUGUACCCUCUCCAGGCUCUAGCACUGGACACGAGUGGAGACAGGUGCUCUUGGACCUGAACUGGCCUUGCCACAGACACAAGUCAGGGUGGUGCGUCCUCAGUGCCCCUGACGGCGAGGCCUCCAUAGGGUUAGGGAUGUGGUGCAAUCACAGUGACUUGUGAUUUGCAGUUCUCUGAAAAGCACUUGCCCCUGUCUUGUGGAGUUACUGCUGUGAGUCCCACUUAAUAGGGAAACCUGAGCCAGUGAUGAGAAGGGGCUUGAGCAAGGUCAGUUGGGUAUUAGUGGAGGUCAAAUGGUCCUCAGCCUGGUGUGCUUUCUUCUUCCUGUCACUCUGUUCUUCAUCUACAAAUUGCUCCCCUCUCUGCUGGGACAGGGAGGCGGAUCACAGCAGGGCCAGCCCUACUAGACUUUGCUUCUUGGCAAGGGUGCAGAUUAUUACAACAUCUGCUUUGCAGGGAUCCCACUGGACAAGGAUGUGGUCACAGAGUUCUCAGGCUGAGAAUCAAUGGAGGUAUGUGGUGCUCAUCUGCUUAUGAGGAAGUGAGGAAGAUGCCACUUUCUUGCCUGGUCCACUGAUGGCUCCAGCAGAUGUGACAUAGACUGGAAGUGAUGGACCCAACCAACAAUCAGAACUAAAGCAUCAGAUGAGCCACCUCAGCCCUGUGAGCCAUGCCAGCCACCCUACCUGUGACCCUACCUGUGGCCCCAGUCAUCCUGGAGCAGAGGGGAUUAAUCUCCAGAAUUGGCAGGAGGUGAACAUGAAGUGCCACCUGAAAUUUAGUGGUGGCUUGAACGAGGAAUGGGAUUGGCACAGGUUAAGAAGAAGCUCCUCUCCUGUCUUCUGAGUGUCUGUUCCUGGAGAUGGAACGGUGGGCCCCCUGCUCUCUCAGAAGCCUCACUUCAACCCAUGGGUGAGGGUGGCCCUCUCCUUGUUUUGUGGAAUUGGACCUUAGGCUUCUGCCAGGUUUUCAGAUUUAGGCGGGGCUCUCUGUUAAACACAGAGAAGUUAUGGCACCCAGAGAACCAGGACCAGGGUGGGCCCAGAAAGACACCAGGGCUCAAAAUGAAGGAGGCAUGCCUCCUAACAUCAUGGAGGUGCUUGUUCAUUAAGGAGGUGUUCUCCCUAAAACUAAGGAGAUAUUUGCCGUUAAAUAAAAAGG